Orcinus orca (killer whale) is the source of this 2096-nucleotide long non-coding RNA. RefSeq lists it as uncharacterized. The transcript is spliced from 2 exons. Lineage: Eukaryota; Metazoa; Chordata; Mammalia; Artiodactyla; Delphinidae. The record is from RefSeq and is a predicted model, not a curated record.
GCACAAGCCCAGAACAAGGUCACCACCAGCAAGUGGGCACCCCAUCCUCAGCACCCUCACAGGAUUCUCAAGACCACAGGGAUGUGGCUUUCAAACUGUGCUCUACAAAGCCCUAGCAGGGGCCAAAGGGAGGAGAAGCGGCGCUCCCACUCCAUUUCAAGCUCUACUUGUAGAGUUUACCUAUUGGACCACCUGUGGUUCUCAUCCCUGGCUGCUCAAUGGAAUCACCUAACAAGUUUUUUUUAAAUGUUGAUGCUUUGGUCACACCUUAGAUGAACUGAAUCCAAUUCUCUGCCAGCUGAGAUUGAGCAUAAAUAUUUCGAACACUGAGAACUUCUCUAGCUAAUGGGUUCUUCAGCUGAAAAAAGAAAGUUUGAAAACCAUCUUCUUAUGGCACCACAGUGACAUUUCAGACACUGAGGGUCCCACUAUGGUGCUGGGGAUACAAACAUAAACAAGUCUCUUUUCUAUCCUAUUAUAACUUCUGUAUCUAUUUUACUUUCAGUGGAUAAACUCAAGAGACCAGGACCUGUGUAUGAGUUAAUUUCCCCCACGACUAGCCAUGUACUCAGCACAAAGGUAUUCAGUAGGUAAACUCAGAAAAUUUCUGCAAGGUACUGCACAGUACCCUCAGGAAAUCUCAGGGACACUGCAAUAAAGAACCACACAGAACAUGCAAAUUAUUUUCAAGAACUGCAAGGAUGCUGCAUAUAAGAUCAAGUACCCAAAAAGUAGGGGCUCCUACGCACCAACAAUAACCAAUUAGCAAAUGUAUCAGCAACAUUAUCCCAUUCACAGUAGCAAUAGACAUUGAGUUUCACAGAAAAGUUUCCCAAGUAAACUUAACUCUGUUCAAAUCUAUAAGAAAAACAAAAACAACCUAUCAGGACUUCCCUGGUGGCGCAGUGGUUGAGAGUCCGCCUGCCGAUGCAGGGGACACGGGUUCAUGCCCCGGUCCGGGAAGAUCCCACAUGCCGCAGAGCGGCUGGGCCCGUGAGCCAUGGCCGCUGAGCCUGUGCGUCCGGAGCCUGUGCUCCGCAACGGGAGAGGCCACAACAGUGAGAGGGCCGCAUACCGCAAAAAAACAAAAAAACAAAAAACAAAAAAAAACCUAUCAAACUGGGCAGAUGAUACAAACUGGAAAUCCAGGAGAUACAAAUGGCUGAAACAGCUUUAAGAGUCCUAGCUAAGAGUCAAAGACAUACAUAUUUUCAUCUACUGGAUGGGAAGAAAAGGCAAAGGCUGAUAAUAUCCAAAGUGUCAAAAACAGAUCAAGAUGGUGGAGUAGGAUGGGGGACUCACCUCCCCCAGUGAACACAGCACAAAUACAUCUACAUGUGGAACAAUGCUCACUGAAAACUAACUGGAGACAGGCAGAAAGACUCCUGUGCAACCAAGGCUGUAAGAAAGAUGCACAAAGAAUCAGGCAGGAAGAGACAGAGAAAGUUAAAAUGAGAAGACAGAGGAGUUUGUUUCAAUUGGAAGAGCAAGCGAAAACCUCUGAAAAAAACAACUAAUGAAACAGAAAUAAACAAUUUACCAGAUAAAGAGUUCAAAGCAUUAGUAAUAAGAAUGCUAACUGAAUUAGCAAAAAGAAUACAUAAACACAGUGGGAAUUUUAUAGAACUAGAAAAUAUAAAAAAGAACCAGUCAGUACUGAAGAAAGCAAUAACAGAAAUGAAUAACACACUAGAAGGAAUUAACAGCAGAUUAGGUGAAACAGAAGAAUGUGAAAGUGAUCUGCAAGAGAGAAUAAUGGAAAUCACCCAAUCAGAACAGCAAAAAAAAAAAAAAAACAGUAAAAAAUGAGAACAGUUUAAGGCAUCUCUGAGACAGUAUCAAUCAUACCGACAUUCACGUUACAGGGGUCGCUGAAGAAGAGAGAAAGAAAAAGGUCAAAAAGGUAUUUGAUGAAAUUAUGUAUGAAAACUUUCCAAACCUGAAGAAGGAAACAGAUAUCCAGAUAUAGGAAGCCCAGAGGGUCCCAAACAAGAUGAACCCAAACAAACCCACACCAAAACAUAUCAUGAUUAAAAUGGCAAAAGUUAAAGAGAAAAUUCUAAAGGCAACAGAGAAAAAUAAAGAGUCAUAUACAA